RNAcentral lists this ribosomal RNA (253 nucleotides) under uncultured bacterium. RNAcentral describes it as "partial 16S ribosomal RNA". It matches the Rfam family "Bacterial small subunit ribosomal RNA", at positions 524 to 776 of the family's 1533-position model. The record is from RNAcentral.
UACAGAGGUCUCAAGCGUUGUUCGGAUUCAUUGGGCGUAAAGGGUGCGUAGGCGGCGCGGUAAGUCGGGUGUGAAAUCUCGGGGCUCAACCUCGGGUCUGCAGUCGAUACGAGCAAACUAGAGUGUUGCAGGGGAGACUGGAAUUCCUGGUGUAGCGGUGAAAUGCGCAGAUAUCAGGAGGAACACCGGUGGCGAAGGCGGGUCUCUGGGCCGAUACUGACGUGGAGGAGCGAAAGCGUGGGGAGCGAACAGG